This 345-nucleotide long non-coding RNA is filed under the name Ananas comosus (pineapple). Its description in RNAcentral is "long non-coding RNA (ACOM_LNC011696)". The record is from RNAcentral. Lineage: Eukaryota; Viridiplantae; Streptophyta; Magnoliopsida; Poales; Bromeliaceae.
UUAAGAAUAAACUUCAAAUACCAUUCUUGUGGUUUCGUACUUUCUCACUUUAGUAUUAUGGGUUUAAAAUGUAUCAAUUUAUAAUUUUUAAUAUUCUGUGGGUUUUUUUUUUCAUCAAAUUUUUUUUUUCAUUAAAUCAGUGACAAAGUUAAAAGUAAAAUGUAUUAAAAUGAAUAUUUGAAAAGCCUAAGUGGGAUAUCUAAAGUUUUUUGUAUAUAAUUUAACGAAAUAUUAACGGAGGAGCUGACGAAAAAAAGAAAAAUAAAAGCAUAGGGUACAAAAUUGAUACACUUUAAACCAUAGGAUACUAAAGUGAAAAAAUGCGAAACCACAGAGUUGAUAUUU